GAGGCGUCGUCCCUCCAAUGUCUCAUUGACAGGCGGGAUAAUCAACACCGGGCGUCCGCUCUCUGCUGAGCCUUCACCUCCCCACUACAGUGAUGAUGCUUUAUUGUCUCCAGUCAGUCCUAGCAUGGAGCAGAAGAACCAGUUAGAUUACUUUCCUGGUAGAGAGCGGCGAUCCAGCUCACAAUCAUAUGUUGGCCGUCCCAUUGAGCUUGACAAGAUCUUACUGUCAAAAGUCAAAGUUCCCCACACAUUCCUGAUUCAC
Molecule: non-coding RNA, 262 nt
Organism: Maylandia zebra (zebra mbuna)
Lineage: Eukaryota; Metazoa; Chordata; Actinopteri; Cichliformes; Cichlidae
Source: RefSeq, a predicted model, not a curated record